Molecule: long non-coding RNA, 281 nt
Organism: Triplophysa dalaica
Lineage: Eukaryota; Metazoa; Chordata; Actinopteri; Cypriniformes; Nemacheilidae
Exons: 3
Source: RefSeq, a predicted model, not a curated record
AUGGUAAGGUGCUGAAGGUGGUCUCCAUACCUAAAGAGAAUUGGGAGACUGAAGAAAUCGUUUUAGAGGAGCUCAAAGUUUUCAAGUCUCAGACCCCGGUUGUGAACAUGGAGCUCUCCACCAAAAGACAAGUGUUGUUUGUGAGCAGCGAUGAAGGUGUCGUCCAGCUGCCCGUUCAGAGAUGUGAUCUGUACGGUAAAGCGUGUGUAGACUGCUGUCUAGCUCGAGAUCCAUACUGCGCUUGGGACGGCUCCUCGUGCACCAACUACUUCCCCAGCAAC